RNAcentral lists this ribosomal RNA (292 nucleotides) under uncultured bacterium. Its description in RNAcentral is "partial 16S ribosomal RNA". It matches the Rfam family "Bacterial small subunit ribosomal RNA", at positions 505 to 796 of the family's 1533-position model. The record is from RNAcentral.
GUGUCAGCAGCCGCGGUAAUACGUAGGUGGCAAGCGUUGUCCGGAUUUACUGGGCGUAAAGAGCGCGCAGGCGGUCGUUCAAGUCGCGUGUGAAAGCCCCCGGCUCAACUGGGGAGGGUCACGCGAUACUGAUCGACUCGAAGGCAGGAGAGGGAAGUGGAAUUCCCGGUGUAGUGGUGAAAUGCGUAGAUAUCGGGAGGAACACCAGUGGCGAAGGCGACUUCCUGGCCUGUUCUUGACGCUGAGGCGCGAAAGCUAGGGGAGCAAACGGGAUUAGAUACCCCGGUAGUCC